ACGCACGCUGGCGGCGUGCUUCACACCUGCCAGUCGAACGGAAAGGCCCUGCUUUUGUGGGGUGCUCGAGUGGCGAACGGGUGAGUAACACGUGAGUAACCUGCCCUUGACUUUGGGAUAACUUCAGGAAACUGGGGCUAAUACCGGAUAGGAGCUCCUGCUGCAUGGUGGGGGUUGGAAAGUUUCGGCGGUUGGGGAUGGACUCGCGGCUUAUCAGCUUGUUGGUGGGGUAGUGGCUUACCAAGGCUUUGACGGGUAGCCGGCCUGAGAGGGUGACCGGCCACAUUGGGCCUGAGAUACGGCCCAGACUCCUACGGGAGGCAGCAGUGGGGAAUAUUGCACAAUGGGCGGAAGCCUGAUGCAGCAACGCCGCGUGCGGGAUGACGGCCUUCGGGUUGUAAACCGCUUUCGCCUGUGACGAAGCGUGAGUGACGGUAAUGGGUAAAGAAGCACCGGCUAACUACGUG
This 467-nucleotide ribosomal RNA is filed under the name uncultured bacterium. RNAcentral's name for it is "partial 16S ribosomal RNA". It matches the Rfam family "Bacterial small subunit ribosomal RNA", at positions 29 to 507 of the family's 1533-position model. The record is from RNAcentral.